This 297-nucleotide ribosomal RNA is filed under the name uncultured bacterium. Its description in RNAcentral is "partial 16S ribosomal RNA". It matches the Rfam family "Bacterial small subunit ribosomal RNA", at positions 337 to 650 of the family's 1533-position model. The record is from RNAcentral.
ACCUACGGGGGGCAGCAGUCGGGAAUAUUGCGCAAUGGAGGAAACUCUGACGCAGUGACGCCGCGUAUAGGAAGAAGGUUUUCGGAUUGUAAGCUAUUGUCGUUAGGGAAGAGAAGGGACAGUACCUAAGGAGGAAGCUCCGGCUAACUACGUGCCAGCAGCCGCGGUAAUACGUAGGGAGCGAGCGUUAUCCGGAAUUAUUGGGUGUAAAGGGUGCGUAGACGGGAAAGCCAGUUAGUUGUGAAAUCCCUCGGCUUAACUGAGGAACUGCAACUAAAACUACUAUUCUUGAGUGCA